GGAAAAUUAGUUAAUCUAUAACAUAAGAAUGUCAAUCUUAAAUUACCUUAAAGUAUUUUCUA
This 62-nucleotide transfer RNA is filed under the name Tanystylum sp. JZ-2022. RNAcentral describes it as "tRNA-Asp". Lineage: Eukaryota; Metazoa; Arthropoda; Pycnogonida; Pantopoda; Tanystylidae. The record is from RNAcentral.